RNAcentral lists this ribosomal RNA (465 nucleotides) under Vreelandella stevensii. RNAcentral describes it as "partial 16S ribosomal RNA". It matches the Rfam family "Bacterial small subunit ribosomal RNA", at positions 338 to 795 of the family's 1533-position model. The record is from RNAcentral. Lineage: Bacteria; Pseudomonadati; Pseudomonadota; Gammaproteobacteria; Oceanospirillales; Halomonadaceae.
CCUACGGGGGGCUGCAGUGGGGAAUAUUGGACAAUGGGGGCAACCCUGAUCCAGCCAUGCCGCGUGUGUGAAGAAGGCCCUCGGGUUGUAAAGCACUUUCAGUGAGGAAGAACGCCUGGUGGUUAAUACCCAUCAGGAAAGACAUCACUCACAGAAGAAGCACUGGCUAACUCCGUGCCAGCAGCCGCGGUAAUACGGAGGGUGCGAGCGUUAAUCGGAAUUACUGGGCGUAAAGCGCGCGUAGGUGGCUUGAUAAGCCGGUUGUGAAAGCCCCGGGCUCAACCUGGGAACGGCAUCCGGAACUGUCAAGCUAGAGUGCAGGAGAGGAAGGUAGAAUUCCCGGUGUAGCGGUGAAAUGCGUAGAGAUCGGGAGGAAUACCAGUGGCGAAGGCGGCCUUCUGGACUGACACUGACACUGAGGUGCGAAAGCGUGGGUAGCAAACAGGAUUAGAUACCCCGGUAGUC